Long non-coding RNA from Oncorhynchus tshawytscha (Chinook salmon), 809 nucleotides. NCBI's taxonomy places the organism in Eukaryota, Metazoa, Chordata, Actinopteri, Salmoniformes, Salmonidae. The record is from Ensembl.
AGGGAGUUUAGGGUUAGAAAUACAUCAAGAGUUAGGAGCUAGGGUUAGGAGCUAGGGUUAGGAGCUAGGGUUAGGGGCUAGGGUUAGGAGCUAGGUUUAGGGUUAGAAAUGCAUUAAGGGUUAGGAGCUAGGGUUAGGAGCUAGGUUUAGGGUUAGGAGCUAGGGUUAGAUUUAGGUUUAAGAGCUAGGGUUAGUUUUAGGGUUAGGAGCUAGGGUUAGGUUUAGGGUUAGCAGCUAGGGUUAGCUUUAGGUUUAAGAGCUAGGGUUAGUUUUAGGGUUAGGAGCCAGGGUUAGGUGCUAGGGUUAAGAACUAGGUUUAGGGUUAAGAGCUAGGGUUAGUUUUAAGGUUAGAAGCCAGGGUUAGGUGGUAGGGUUAAGAGCUAGGCUUAGGUUUAUGGUUAAGAGCUAGGGUUAGGUUUAGGGUUAAGAGCUAGGUUAGGUUUAGGGUUAGGUGCUAGGGUUAGGUUUAGGGUUAGGAGCUAGGGUUAGGUUUAGGGUUAGGUGCUAGGGUUAAGAGCUAGGGUUCGUUUUAGGGUUAGGAGCUAGGGUUCGGUUUAGGGUUAGGAGCUCGGAUUAGUUUUAGGGUUAGGUGCUAGGGUCAGAUUUAGGGUUAGGAGCUAGGGUUAGGUUUAGGUGCUAGGGUUAGGUUUAGGGUUAAGAGCUAGAGUUAGGUUUAGGGUUAGGAGCUAGGGUUAAGUUUAGUGUUAAGAGCUAGGGUUAGGAUUAGGGUUAAGAGCUAUGUAUAGGUUUAGGGUUAGGAGCUAGGGUUCGGUUUAGGGUUAGGAGCUAGGAUUCGUUUUAGGGUUAGG